AUUGAACGCUGGCGGCAGGCCUAACACAUGCAAGUCGAACGAGUGGCGCACGGGUGAGUAAUGUCUGGGAAACUGCCUGAUGGAGGGGGAUAACCACUGGAAACGGUAGAUAACACCGCAUACCAUCAGAUGUGCCCAGAUGGGAUGAGCUAGUGGGUGGGGUAACGGCUCACCAAGGCGACUAUCCCUAGCUGGUCUGAGAGGAUGACCAGCCACACUGGAACUGAGACACGGUCCAGACUCCUACGGGAGGCAGCAGUGGGGAAUAUUGCACGAUGGGCGCAAGCCUGAUACAGCCAUGCCGCGUGUAUGAAGAAGGCCUGCGGGUUGUAAAGUACUUUCAGAGGGGAGGCGUUACCCGCAGAAGAAGCACCGGCUAACUCCGUGCCAGCAGCCGCGGUAAUAC
RNAcentral lists this ribosomal RNA (406 nucleotides) under uncultured bacterium. RNAcentral describes it as "partial 16S ribosomal RNA". It matches the Rfam family "Bacterial small subunit ribosomal RNA", at positions 30 to 526 of the family's 1533-position model. The record is from RNAcentral.